UUCAAAAUGCUUGAUGGUCACGUGACUCACAUACACUUCAGACAGUUCCAGGAAGUUCUUGGCGGGCGAUUUAAACCUAUAAACACAGAGAGGCAGAACAUCUUUCGGAUUAAACAGCUGUCGUUACUUGCCUUAUCGACAUGUUGGGUUGAGGUCAGCAUGGAUUUAAGGAACUAUUGAGAGGCUCCACGAUUCGCCAUUGCUGGAAAAAAUGGUCCAUUGGAGAGAACGAAGAUGACGGGACUCUCUCUACACAGCUCUGCCUGGAACUAAACGCCCACAUCCAGCACUGUCUGCCUCUGU
Colossoma macropomum (tambaqui) is the source of this 303-nucleotide long non-coding RNA. RefSeq lists it as uncharacterized. The record is from RefSeq and is a predicted model, not a curated record. The transcript is spliced from 3 exons. NCBI's taxonomy places the organism in Eukaryota, Metazoa, Chordata, Actinopteri, Characiformes, Serrasalmidae.